Molecule: long non-coding RNA, 1028 nt
Organism: Oncorhynchus tshawytscha (Chinook salmon)
Lineage: Eukaryota; Metazoa; Chordata; Actinopteri; Salmoniformes; Salmonidae
Source: Ensembl
UGUUAACCCAUUUCCCUCACACCUUCCUAACUUAAUCUGCCUUUAAACCCAUUUCCCUCACACCUUCCUAACUUAAUCUGCCUGUUAACCCAUUUCCCUCACACCUUCCUAACUUAAUCUGCCUUUAAACCCAUUUCCCUCACACCUUCCUAACUUAAUCUGCCUUUAAACCCAUUUCCCUCACACCUUCCUAACUUAAUCUGCCUUUAAACCCAUUUCCCUCACACCUUCCUAACUUAAUCUGCCUUUAAACCCAUUUCCCUCACACCUACCUAAGAGGUUGAUUUAAUGUAGCACAACAGUGUAUUGAUGAGUUGAAGAGGUUGAUUUAAUGUAGCACAACAGUGUAUUGAUGAGUUGAAGAGGUGAUUUAAUGUAGCACAACAGUGUAUUGAUGAGUUGAAGAGGUGAUUUAAUGUAGCACAACAGUGUAUUGAUGAGUUGAAGAGGUUGAUUUAAUGUAGCACAACAGUGUAUUGAUGAGUUUGUGUUAUGCCUGUUUAUCAGCAGUAAAUCAUUUGACCACACGCCUUGUGGCUUGAUAUUAUUCUCUUUUAUGUUUAACUUUCUAUAACUAAACUGUUAUGGGACUGUUCUAUUGACUGUAACUCUAAUACUAAUCACAUGUAUUGUAAAGGGAAAUGACAACAUGCUAUGAGUUGCAGCCUUUAGAAUAAUGACAACAUGCAAUGAGUUGCAGUCUUUAGAAUAAUGACAACAUGCAAUGAGUUGCAGUCUUUAGAAUAAUGUAAAACAUGUCCUUGACUCUGUCAAGUUGAUGAACGAAAGUUAGCCUGAAGACAAGAUUACAUUUACAAUAAUCUGAUGAGUGACAAUAUUAGGCCUUUCAGUUGUCAUCUAGUACAUGAAGAGAUGGGAGCAUCUAGUACAUGAAGAGAUGGGAGCAUCUAGUACAUGAAGAGAUGGGAGCAUCUAGAACAUAAAGAGAUGGGAGCAUCUAGUACAUGAAGAGAUGGGAGCAUCUAGUACAUGAAGAGAUGGGAGCAUCUAGUACAUGAAGAGAUGGG